Molecule: unclassified non-coding RNA, 534 nt
Filed under: Candida albicans
Lineage: Eukaryota; Fungi; Ascomycota; Pichiomycetes; Serinales; Debaryomycetaceae
Description: sequence contains 18S rRNA gene, ITS1, 5.8S rRNA gene, ITS2, 28S rRNA gene
Rfam family: 5.8S ribosomal RNA (bases 181-334)
Source: RNAcentral
GUAACAAGGUUUCCGUAGGUGAACCUGCGGAAGGAUCAUUACUGAUUUGCUUAAUUGCACCACAUGUGUUUUUCUUUGAAACAAACUUGCUUUGGCGGUGGGCCCAGCCUGCCGCCAGAGGUCUAAACUUACAACCAAUUUUUUAUCAACUUGUCACACCAGAUUAUUACUAAUAGUCAAAACUUUCAACAACGGAUCUCUUGGUUCUCGCAUCGAUGAAGAACGCAGCGAAAUGCGAUACGUAAUAUGAAUUGCAGAUAUUCGUGAAUCAUCGAAUCUUUGAACGCACAUUGCGCCCUCUGGUAUUCCGGAGGGCAUGCCUGUUUGAGCGUCGUUUCUCCCUCAAACCGCUGGGUUUGGUGUUGAGCAAUACGACUUGGGUUUGCUUGAAAGACGGUAGUGGUAAGGCGGGAUCGCUUUGACAAUGGCUUAGGUCUAACCAAAAACAUUGCUUGCGGCGGUAACGUCUACCACGUAUAUCUUCAAACUUUGACCUCAAAUCAGGUAGGACUACCCGCUGAACUUAAGCAUAUC